This is a long non-coding RNA of Oncorhynchus masou masou (cherry salmon), 3628 nucleotides long. RefSeq lists it as uncharacterized. Lineage: Eukaryota; Metazoa; Chordata; Actinopteri; Salmoniformes; Salmonidae. The transcript is spliced from 2 exons. The record is from RefSeq and is a predicted model, not a curated record.
AGUCCUCUAGUCUCUAUGGAACACAGCAUAGUCCUUUAGUCUCUAUGAGCCACAGCAUAGUCCUCUAGUCUCUAUGGAACACAGCAUAGUCAUUUAGUCUCUAUGGAACACAGCAGAGUCAUUUAGUCUCUAUGGAACACAGCAGAGUCCUUUAGUCUCUAUGGUCCACAGCAGAGUCCUUUAGUCUCUAUGGAACACAGCAUAGUCAUUUAGUCUCUAUGGAACACAGCAUAGUCCUCUAGUCUCUAUGGAACACAGCAGAGUCCUUUAGUCUCUAUGGUCCAGACGGGGAAAGAAACUGUUCAGAUGGACGUCUAUAACAUCCAAUCACAGACUCCCCAGAUGAGGCUCAUGAUUUAUAAGUUAUAUACCUCUUAAUAUGUACAUAUAUUGUCUUUAUUUAAACCAAGGUAGUUUGAGUUAGUAGUGAUGAAGUUGCAACUGUCAGCUGCUGUAAACCUGUGACAGUAUUCAUCGGAGAGCUGAUCUCAGAUCAGUUUAGCUGUUUAGUUUUUUAUAUCAUAACGAUACUGCUGCAAACCUGUGACAGUUUUCAUAGGAGAGCUGAUCUCGGGUCAGUUUAGCUUUUUAUAUCAUAAUGAUUCUGUUGUGAAGUCUGGUUACAGCAGGUGUUUACUGCCAUCUAGUGGAAAAUAUUUUAGUUUUAUUUAACUUUUUUUUUUUACUUGGCCAAUUGUGCGCCACCCUAUGGGACUCCCAAUCAUGCAGCCUGGAUUCUAACCAGGUACUGCAGUGACGCAAGAGGCGAGACUCUGCCCCACUCGGGAGGCGGCUGAGCUGAAACAGAAAGUAAAGCUGUUAUUUUGUACAGGAUCCUUGGGGAGAUGACAGGACCCCCCACUGUGGUAAAGGUUGCUGAGAGAGAUACCAGGACCCCCCCACUGUGGUAAUGGUUUCUGAGAGAGAUACCUGGACCCCCCACUGUGGUAAAGGUUUCUGAGAGAGAUACCUGGACCCCCCACUGUGGUAAAGGUUGCUGAGAGAGAUACCUGGACCCCCCACUGUGGUAAAGGUUUCUGAGAGAGAUACCAGGACCCCCCCCCAACACUGUGGUAAUGGUUGCUGAGAGAGAUACCUGGACCCCCCCCAACACUGUGGUAAUGGUUGCUGAGAGAGAUACCAGGACCCCCCCCCCCAACACUGUGGUAAUGGUUGCUGAUAGAGAUACCUGGACCCCCCACUGUGGUAAAGGUUGCUGAGAGAGAUACCUGGACACGCCUGUCUCACUGCAGUUCCUGAUCCAGAAGAAGAUGGGGUCUCACCAGGUGCGGUGGUGCAGUGUGGCCCUCCUCUGCGUUAGCACAGGAGUGCUAAUAAUAACAGGAGGUUGUCCUCUUGUGGGAAAACUGACAGAGGGAGAGACAUGUCCCAAGCCAAAGGGGACAUCACCGGCCCAGAGUAGUGGCCCAGAAGUAGAUGGUAAUGACAGAAGGAGUCCUGAGCAUAAAGGACUAACACAGGCCUCUAUUAGAGGCCCAGAAGUAGAUGGUAAUGACAGAAGGAGUCCUGAGUCAAAGGGGCCAAUGCAGGCCUGUAGUAGUGGCCCAGAAGUAGAUGGUAAUGACAGAAGGAGUCCUGAGCAAGAAGGACCAACACAGGUCUGUAAUAGUGGCCCAGAAGUAGAUGGUAAUGACAGGAGUCCUGAGAAAGAGGGACCAAUGCAGACCUGUAGUAAUGGCCCAGAAGUAGAUGAUCAUCGUAGAAGGACAGCCCUGCUGGAACCUCACAAACAUGAGGACAAUUUGCUCUUAUCUAAAGCAGAAAUGGUUGCCAACCUGCCCUCCAAAGAAAAGGACUGUUGGGUGUGUGGGAUGGGUCCGGUUAAGGUAGGGGCAGGCUUGCCCCUUAUGGGAGUCCCAAUCGGAGUGAACUUUACUAUAGCAUUGGCAGGAAAAAUACCUUUUUAUACUAUGACCAACAAUGUUAAGGUAUAUAAUCAACCCAAUGUAUCCUAUUACUUGAGGCCUGGUAAUGUCUCAAUCCCGCCCAUUUCAGUGGCUGGGGUGAUGACUGCCCCUUGGUGUAUUAGAGGAUAUGGAGAUCACCAUUUGGGUGAAUUGAAAUGUAAUUGUACUAUGAAUCUUAAUGGAUCAAAUGCUUGCAAUUUAACAGUAAUACAGGAGAAUGGUCAGGCAGAUAAGGAACCAUUUAAAAUGUGGGUUGACAAACAUAGCACAACUCUGAGAGGAGCCCCAAAUGGCACCUAUUGGCUGUGUGGUAAGAUGGCUUACUAUAGCCUGCCCUCGAACUGGGGAGGUACUUGUACUGUUGGGUUUGUGGUGACAGCUAUGAGAACCGUUCCAAAUAAUGAGAGGGAUCUGAUGGCUCUGUUUAGAGACUACAAACUUCCUGGAAUGAGGAGAGAUAACGUCACUCACGCUGAUGUCACUCACGCUCAGAUACCUGCCUCCAGGUUCUUUGGUGUGUUUUUCUCUGGGUAUGGAGUUGUAUGUGCCCUAGACCAAAUCCAUGACAUCUCUAGACACAUAGAGAACAUUGGCAAUGCUAGUAGAAAUGCCCUGGAACAAUUGAAUGGGGAACUAAAAAAAUUGCUUAAGUUAGCUCUGCAAAACAAAGAGACUCUUGAUUAUCUUCUGGCAGGUCAAGGGGGCACUUGUGCAAUCAUUGGGGAUGACUGUUUUAUUUUUGUUCUCCCAGAUCACUCUUCUAAUGUGACUGAUCUUGCAGAAUAUAUUGCCACUGCGGCUUAGAAAAAUCCCCCCAAACCAGAGUGGAUGCUUGCAACUUGGUUGGGAUCCCUGUUUGGAAGUUGGGUUGCAGCGGUGGCUGGGCUGCAGCGUGUGUUUUAUGCUUGGCUCUCCAGAGGGUGGUGAAGUCUGCACAACGCAUCACCAGGGGCAAACUACCUGUCCUCCAGGACACCUACACCACUCCAGGACACCUACACCACCUCCAGGACACCUACACCACAGGAAGGCCAUAAAGAUCAUCAAGGACAACAACGACCCGAGCCACUGCCUGUUCACCCCGCUAUCAUCCAGAAGGCGAGGUCAGUACAGGUGCAUCAAAGCAGGGACCGAGAGACUGAAAAACAGCUUCUAUCUCAAGGCCAUCAGACUGUUAAACAGCCACCACUAACAUUGAGUGGCUGCUGCCAACACACUGACUCAACUACAGCCAAUUUAAUAAUGGGAAUUGAUGGGAAUUGAUGUAAAAUAUAUCACUAGCCACUUUAAACAAUGCGCUUUAAUAUAAUGUUUACAUACCCUUCAUUACUCAUCUCAUAUGUAUACGUAUAUACUGUACUCUAUAUCAUCUACUGCAUCUUUAUGUAAACAUGUAUCACUAGCCACUUUAACUAUGCCACUUUGUUUAUAUACUCAUCUCAUAUGUAUAUACUGUGCUCGAUACCAUCUACUGCAUCUUGCCUAUGCCGCUCUGUACCAUCACUCAUUCAUAUAUCUUUAUGUACAUAUUCUUUAUCCCUUUACACUUGUGUGUUUAAGGUAGUAGUUUUGGAAUUGUUAGUUAGAUUACUCGUUGGUUAUUACUGCAUUGUCGGAACUAGAAGCACAAGCAUUUUGCUCCACUCGCAUUAAUAUCUGCUAACCAUGUGUAUGUGACAAAUAAAUUUGAUUUGAUUUGA